UCAAAUCUAGGAUUCUCUUCCGCAUACGCAAUCUCAACAAGUGGUUGAAAAUCAAGAAAGGGAAACAGAGGAUAAUGGGUUACAAAGGUUGAUUAAAAAUUUUCUUUGAAUAGCUCAAAUAAAGCAGAUGUUCAGUAAAGUAUUAACAAGUGAAAACACGGAAACUGUCCGUCGAAUAACUGCAGUAAAGUCCACAAGAAUUGGCAAUAAUUUUAUCUGGUGGAGGUUUAUAUACUGCUGCAUUGAAGCUGCUUACUGGCUUCGGAUUAUCACCUCUUCUCAUAUGGGUACGCCACAUUACCAAGGAAGCGCCAAUGAAGCAUGAGCGUGGUCAUAGGAAAGUGAAAUGGCUGAUUUGCUUCAUCGCAAUAAAGCAACCAAUCUGGCCCGAUCACUGUUACAAAAGCUCAUUUAUGAUCCUGAGUUAGAAAAUUCUACUAGCGUAUGUAAACAUAUAGCAAACAAGCUGCUAAGUCUCAACGCUUUUAUACCGCAAUGGCUAUAUAAUGACUAAAAGUUGGCGAAUUGUCCAGAGCUCUUGUAUAUGUUCGUCAAACAUAAUUCCUUAAUUAAAGCUGCCAAUUACCACAUGGCAGCCGGUUCUACGUUACCGGAAUGACUCGGCUUUUUUUCCUGACCAAGGGCUGCCGCCCCAGUAAACUAGCCCUGUCUAGUGUACCGUAUCCCACCAUCAAUCUUUCGUCACAGGAGCAAUCCCUUGCAGCAGAUUUGCUCCAAUUACUUCUCUUCAGGGCUGGCGUCGAACCAGACCCUGGACCAGAGGUAUUUUACUGCUGCAUCUACCACAAACGGCUCCACCCGAACUCCACCUCGGUGCCAUCUUAAGACCUGUUCAGGUCUUGAGACUCAUAGGGAGUGGUACACAAGGUAUAGGGCCCCUGCCUCAACGGCGAUACCGUCAUCAGUGCCGGUAAGCCAAACUGCCGCCGCCAACCAUACCUUAGCUGUAAGGAUCCCUCAGGCGCAACACAACUCCCCCACUGACCCACAACC
Molecule: long non-coding RNA, 1014 nt
Organism: Anastrepha obliqua
Lineage: Eukaryota; Metazoa; Arthropoda; Insecta; Diptera; Tephritidae
Exons: 5
Source: RefSeq, a predicted model, not a curated record